GACGAACGCUCGGUGCGUGCUUAACACAUGCAAGUCGAACGGAAAGGCCCUGCUUUUGUGGGGUGCUCGAGUGGCGAACGGGUGAGUAACACGUGAGUAACCUGCCCUUGACUUUGGGAUAACUUCAGGAAACUGGGGCUAAUACCGGAUAGGAGCUCCUGCUGCAUGGUGGGGGUUGGAAAGUUUCGGCGGUUGGGGAUGGACUCGCGGCUUAUCAGCUUGUUGGUGGGGUAGUGGCUUACCAAGGCUUUGACGGGUAGCCGGCCUGAGAGGGUGACCGGCCACAUUGGGACUGAGAUACGGCCCAGACUCCUACGGGAGGCAGCAGUGGGGAAUAUUGCACAAUGGGCGGAAGCCUGAUGCAGCAACGCCGCGUGCGGGAUGACGGCCUUCGGGUUGUAAACCGCUUUCGCCUGUGACGAAGCGUGAGUGACGGUAAUGGGUAAAGAAGCACCGGCUAACUACGUGCCAGCAGCCGCGGUGAUACGUAGGGUGCGAGCGUUGUCCGGAUUUAUUGGGCGUAAAGGGCUCGUAGGUGGUUGAUCGCGUCGGAAGUGUAAUCUUGGGGCUUAACCCUGAGCGUGCUUUCGAUACGGGUUGACUUGAGGAAGGUAGGGGAGAAUGGAAUUCCUGGUGGAGCGGUGGAAUGCGCAGAUAUCAGGAGGAACACCAGUGGCGAAGGCGGUUCUCUGGGCCUUUCCUGACGCUGAGGAGCGAAAGCGUGGGGAGCGAACAGGCUUAGAUACCCUGGUAGUCCACGCUGUAAACGGUGGGUACUAGGUGUGGGGUCCAUUCCACGGGUUCCGUGCCGUAGCUAACGCUUUAAGUACCCCGCCUGGGGAGUACGGCCGCAAGGCUAAAACUCAAAGGAAUUGACGGGGCCCCGCACAAGCGGCGGAGCAUGCGGAUUAAUUCGAUGCAACGCGUAGAACCUUACCUGGGUUUGACAUGGAUCGGGAGUGCUCAGAGAUGGGUGUGCCUCUUUUGGGGUCGGUUCACAGGUGGUGCAUGGCUGUCGUCAGCUCGUGUCGUGAGAUGUUGGGUUAAGUCCCGCAACGAGCGCAACCCUUGUUCACUGUUGCCAGCACGUUAUGGUGGGGACUCAGUGGAGACCGCCGGGGUCAACUCGGAGGAAGGUGGGGAUGACGUCAAGUCAUCAUGCCCCUUAUGUCCAGGGCUUCACGCAUGCUACAAUGGCUGGUACAGAGAGUGGCGAGCCUGUGAGGGUGAGCGAAUCUCGGAAAGCCGGUCUCAGUUCGGAUUGGGGUCUGCAACUCGACCUCAUGAAGUCGGAGUCGCUAGUAAUCGCAGAUCAGCAACGCUGCGGUGAAUACGUUCCCGGGGC
RNAcentral lists this ribosomal RNA (1345 nucleotides) under uncultured bacterium. RNAcentral describes it as "partial 16S ribosomal RNA". It matches the Rfam family "Bacterial small subunit ribosomal RNA", at positions 28 to 1380 of the family's 1533-position model. The record is from RNAcentral.